GGAGUCGUCCAGGCGAUCGCUGAAUUAUUUUUGUAAUUCAGAGGAAAGUCCGAACACCAUAGGGCAGGGUGCUCCAUAACGUGGAGUCGCGGUGACGUGAAGGAAAGUGCAACAGAAAGCAUACCGCCAGGCUGUCAAAUCAUAAAAUCUAACUGCCUGGUAAGGGUGAAAAGGUGCGGUAAGAGCGCACCAGUUUCCCGGGUGACCGGGGAAGCUCGGUAAACCCCAUCCGGUGCAAGACCAAAUAGAGGAGUGCUUGAGGAUUGCCCGUCCAAGCUCCCGGGUAGGUCGCAUGAGGUGUUGGGCAACCAACAUCCAUAGAUGAAUGAUCGCCGCCUUACUUAAGGG
This 348-nucleotide RNase P RNA is filed under the name Bacteroidota bacterium. RNAcentral describes it as "Bacteroidetes bacterium (marine metagenome) partial RNase P RNA component class A". It matches the Rfam family "Bacterial RNase P class A". Rfam says of the family: Ribonuclease P (RNase P) is a ubiquitous endoribonuclease, found in archaea, bacteria and eukarya as well as chloroplasts and mitochondria. Its best characterised activity is the generation of mature 5'-ends of tRNAs by cleaving the 5'-leader elements of precursor-tRNAs. Lineage: Bacteria; Pseudomonadati; Bacteroidota. The record is from RNAcentral.